GGAUGUGAGGGCGAUCGGGCUGCGACAUGUCACCCCAUUCAUCGCCAGGGUUGAUGCGGCCGACCUGGCUGGCUCGGCGGUGUCCCCUUCCUCCCUUACAGCUCCAUGUGUACCUCUCCCGAAGCUGGGCACUCGGUUGAAGGGGAUGAUCAUCCCCGAUAGAGGAGGACCAGCCUUCGUUCAAGGGUAUACGAGUAGCUGCUAGAACCUCCAAACAAGCUCUCAAGGUCCAGAGAUGUGAUGUGAACUCCAGGUCUUAGCUGAUGAUCACGUGGCUGUGCAGUGGUGCAGACUGUGUCCUGAUGA
RNAcentral lists this small nuclear RNA (306 nucleotides) under Saimiri boliviensis boliviensis (Bolivian squirrel monkey). RNAcentral describes it as "7SK RNA (ENSSBOG00000002724.1)". It matches the Rfam family "7SK RNA". Rfam says of the family: 7SK was discovered as an abundant small nuclear RNA in the mid-70s but a possible function has only recently been suggested. The record is from RNAcentral. Lineage: Eukaryota; Metazoa; Chordata; Mammalia; Primates; Cebidae.